AACAGAAUUUCAUAAUGAAGUUAAAUUCGCAUGAUUUGAUUUGCACACUUAUUCCCCUAGAAGACACACAUAUAAAAGGAACAUCUCGAGCGCAUAUUUCAUUAUUCAACAAAUCUACCAUUUUCAUGAAGUAAGUAAACUCCCAAGAAAUUCUCAAAAUGAAACAAUCUUCAGUUAUUUUCGGGCUAUUACUCAUCGUCGCAAUUGCGACAUUUACUCCAACCGAGGCCGCACCCCAAUUGGGGACUUGCCGUUGGGGAGGACGUUGGGCUUGUGUGGGGUCAUGCUAUGCGCAAAACUGCGCGACCGGAUACUGCAACGGGGAGACAUGCACUUGCUCCAGAUGCGGAAGUGGCAGCGCCCCCGUCCCCUGGGGAAAAUAAUUUUGACGACGACGUGGCAAAAACCUACGGACUAAAUGAAUUUCGAAAUAGUUGCUAUUUAAAUUUACUAGAACACUGGUUUUAAAUAAAUAAUUUUACAAAUGAAUUAAAUAUAUCGUAGAUACAUA
Long non-coding RNA from Folsomia candida, 511 nucleotides. RefSeq lists it as uncharacterized. Lineage: Eukaryota; Metazoa; Arthropoda; Collembola; Entomobryomorpha; Isotomidae. The transcript has 2 exons. The record is from RefSeq and is a predicted model, not a curated record.